RNAcentral lists this long non-coding RNA (302 nucleotides) under Arachis ipaensis. Its description in RNAcentral is "long non-coding RNA (AIPA_LNC000959)". Lineage: Eukaryota; Viridiplantae; Streptophyta; Magnoliopsida; Fabales; Fabaceae. The record is from RNAcentral.
CAAAAAUUAGUGAGUUAGUAAAAAAAAAGUCAGAGUAAGUGGCAUGAUGAUUGGUUUCUAAGUAACAAGAAUUUCACAAUUUGAAGCAACAGACAACUCAUAUUCAAGCAAGGAAAUCAAGUUGUUGAUGAUUCAUAUAGAUAUAGAAAUAGCGAAAAGUGAAAUCUAAUCAUCAAUAAUGUGAUUUAUUAACCGGGAAAACAGAGGAAUAAGAAUGCUGGCCCGUGCAUUCAUGAAUUGGUUUGGUAAAAGCUGAGGAGUGCCAAAUUCAAAUUGCCAAAACCAAAACAUGAAUGAAUAUC